Molecule: non-coding RNA, 1151 nt
Organism: Malus domestica (apple)
Lineage: Eukaryota; Viridiplantae; Streptophyta; Magnoliopsida; Rosales; Rosaceae
Source: RefSeq, a predicted model, not a curated record
GGGUUGUUGAUGAAUCAACCACUACACGGUUACCACCCUUUAUAGCAUGCAUAUGAGAAUGCAAAGCCUUGCAUAACAAGAAAGAGGCAUUCCCUAGUUCAGGAUCUGUUCACACUUACUUGACCUUAAUUAUUAUCAUCUUUGCUAGUUAGCUUCACCUUAAUUAAUUUCUCCAAACCCUACCCUUAACCUCAACUCUAACUAUUUAAACACCUCUUCAUUUCUUUGAAAAUUCACACUUCAUUCACUCUUUAGCUUUCCUUAUUAUUUCUCAUCCCAUCCUCCCUCCCUCCCUUUGUUCUUUUGAUAAUUGCUUGACAACCAUGCACUUCUUCAAGAUUGUUCUCGUUGUCAUCGCUCUUUGCUUCGUCACUUAUCUCGGAAAGAGCAAUGCUGCCACACCAUAUGAUAUCUUCCAAUUCGUCCAGCAAUCCCCAUACGUCUUCUGCCUUGGGAAUGGAAUUUGUGGAAACCCACCAGUUCUGCGGCAUACCUUUACGACACACGGCCUCUGGCCGAGCAACUUUACCGAUCCAUCUGCAUCUAUACUCUGCGCUGGCACGCUAUUCGACAGAAAACAGAUGAAUGCUGAUCAUAAUGCAAUUACUUUUGUCCAAUUCCUGGCCCAACUUCAACAUUAGACGGACAAAUAUGGAUUUCUGGGAGCAUGAGUACAACAAGCACGGCAGGUGCUCGGACAAUAAAUUUUCCCAGACACAGUACUUCCACGAAGCUCAUAGAUUAUGGUUGACCUACAAUGCACAAUAUCUAUUUUCUCAAACAACUGGGAUUGUACCAGGACAUCAAUAUGAUUACAUCGACCUUGAAUCGGCCAUUCGACGGACUAUAGGAGGGAAAACACCUCUUCUUAUGUGCAAGUAUGAUGGGAGGAUCGUGUAUCUCCAGGAAGUCGUCAUCUGUUUUGACUACAACGCAGCGAAUCCGGUCGAUUGUGUCAGGACAACAAAUUGUGGGGCAUUGGUAUCGUAUUCACUCUAAUGGGUAUAUAUAGUGGCUGCUACAUAUAUCUAUAUUAAUGUAAUAAGAACAACAAUAUAAUGAUGAUUUCGAAUUUAUCGAUCUCACCAUUUCAUAUCCUAAGUAAAUGUUAUGUAGUACGUACAUGACCUGAUGAAUUCUGAUUAUGGUAA